This 201-nucleotide ribosomal RNA is filed under the name Staphylococcus aureus. RNAcentral describes it as "partial 16S ribosomal RNA". It matches the Rfam family "Bacterial small subunit ribosomal RNA", at positions 1 to 196 of the family's 1533-position model. Lineage: Bacteria; Bacillati; Bacillota; Bacilli; Caryophanales; Staphylococcaceae. The record is from RNAcentral.
UUUAUGGAGAGUUUGAUCCUGGCUCAGGAUGAACGCUGGCGGCGUGCCUAAUACAUGCAAGUCGAGCGAACGGACGAGAAGCUUGCUUCUCUGAUGUUAGCGGCGGACGGGUGAGUAACACGUGGAUAACCUACCUAUAAGACUGGGGUAACUUCGGGAAACCGGAGCUAAUACCGGAUAAUAUUUUGAACCGCAUGGUUC